CCUACGGGAGGCUGCAGUGAGGAAUAUUGGUCAAUGGGCGCGAGCCUGAACCAGCCAAGUAGCGUGAAGGAUGACUGCCCUACGGGUUGUAAACUUCUUUUAUAAAGGAAUAAAGUGAGGCACGUGUGCCUUUUUGUAUGUACUUUAUGAAUAAGGAUCGGCUAACUCCGUGCCAGCAGCCGCGGUAAUACGUAGGGAGCAAGCGUUGUCCGGAAUUACUGGGCGUAAAGGGCGCGUAGGUGGGCGCUUAAGUCAGGUGUGAAAACUCCGGGCUCAACCUGGAGACUGCACUUGAAACUGGGUGUCUUGAGGGCAGGAGAGGAAAGUGGAAUUCCUAGUGUAGCAGUGAAAUGCGUAGAUAUCGAGAGGAACACUCGUGGCGAAGGCGGGUUCCUGGACAUUAACUGACGCUGAGGCACGAAGGCCAGGGGAGCGAAAGGGAUUAGAUACCCCAGUAGUC
This 460-nucleotide ribosomal RNA is filed under the name uncultured bacterium. RNAcentral describes it as "partial 16S ribosomal RNA". It matches the Rfam family "Bacterial small subunit ribosomal RNA", at positions 338 to 795 of the family's 1533-position model. The record is from RNAcentral.